This 85-nucleotide microRNA precursor is filed under the name Bombyx mori (domestic silkworm). RNAcentral's name for it is "mir-2807 microRNA precursor family". It matches the Rfam family "mir-2807 microRNA precursor family". Lineage: Eukaryota; Metazoa; Arthropoda; Insecta; Lepidoptera; Bombycidae. The record is from Rfam by way of RNAcentral.
UAAAAGUUAACUUUGUAUAGAGUUGGAACCUUUACCUACGUUUGGUGCUAGGGACGCUGUUCCAAUUGCAUACAAAUUCGAGUUA